RNAcentral lists this ribosomal RNA (536 nucleotides) under Staphylococcus sp. MSB2005. RNAcentral's name for it is "bacterial SSU rRNA". It matches the Rfam family "Bacterial small subunit ribosomal RNA", at positions 8 to 526 of the family's 1533-position model. The record is from RNAcentral. Lineage: Bacteria; Bacillati; Bacillota; Bacilli; Caryophanales; Staphylococcaceae.
AGAGUUUGAUCCUGGCUCAGGAUGAACGCUGGCGGCGUGCCUAAUACAUGCAAGUCGAGCGAACAGACGAGGAGCUUGCUCCUCUGACGUUAGCGGCGGACGGGUGAGUAACACGUGGAUAACCUACCUAUAAGACUGGGAUAACUUCGGGAAACCGGAGCUAAUACCGGAUAAUAUAUUGAACCGCGUGGUUCAAUAGUGAAAGACGGUUUUGCUGUCACUUAUAGAUGGAUCCGCGCCGCAUUAGCUAGUUGGUAAGGUAACGGCUUACCAAGGCAACGAUGCGUAGCCGACCUGAGAGGGUGAUCGGCCACACUGGAACUGAGACACGGUCCAGACUCCUACGGGAGGCAGCAGUAGGGAAUCUUCCGCAAUGGGCGAAAGCCUGACGGAGCAACGCCGCGUGAGUGAUGAAGGUCUUCGGAUCGUAAAACUCUGUUAUUAGGGAAGAACAAAUGUGUAAGUAACUAUGCACGUCUUGACGGUACCUAAUCAGAAAGCCACGGCUAACUACGUGCCAGCAGCCGCGGUAAUAC